This 433-nucleotide ribosomal RNA is filed under the name uncultured bacterium. RNAcentral describes it as "partial 16S ribosomal RNA". It matches the Rfam family "Bacterial small subunit ribosomal RNA", at positions 29 to 507 of the family's 1533-position model. The record is from RNAcentral.
AACGAACGCUGGCGGCAUGCCUAACACAUGCAAGUCGAACGAGACCGUCGGGUCUAGUGGCGCACGGGUGCGUAACGCGUGGGAACCUGCCCUUAGGUUCGGAAUAACUCCCCGGAAGGGGUGCUAAUACCGGAUAAUGUCUUCGGACCAAAGAUUUAUCGCCUUUGGAUGGGCCCGCGUUGGAUUAGCUAGUUGGUAGGGGAAAAGCCUACCAAGGCGACGAUCCAUAGCUGGUCUGAGAGGAUGAUCAGCGACACUGGCACUGAGACACGGCCCAGACUCCUACGGGAAGCAGCAGUGGGGAAUAUUGGACAGUGGGGGAAAGCAUGAUCCAGCAAUGCCGCGUGAGUGAUGAAGGCCUUAGGGUUGUAAAGCUCUUUUACCCGGGAUGAUAAUGACAGUACCGGGAGAAUAAGCUCCGGCUAACUCCGUG